UACAGGGGGGGCAAGCGUUGUUCGGAAUUACUGGGCGUAAAGGGCCAGUAGGCGGCCAACUAAGUCCGACGUGAAAUUCCCAGGCUUAACCUGGGAACUGCGUCGGAUACUGGAUGGCUUGAAUUCGGGAGAGGGAUGCAGAAUUCCAGGUGUAGCGGUGAAAUGCGUAGAUAUCUGGAGGAAUACCGGUGGCGAAGGCGGCAUCCUGGACCGACAUUGACGCUGAGGAGCGAAAGCGUGGGGAGCGAACAGG
RNAcentral lists this ribosomal RNA (253 nucleotides) under uncultured bacterium. RNAcentral's name for it is "partial 16S ribosomal RNA". It matches the Rfam family "Bacterial small subunit ribosomal RNA", at positions 524 to 776 of the family's 1533-position model. The record is from RNAcentral.